RNAcentral lists this ribosomal RNA (253 nucleotides) under uncultured bacterium. RNAcentral describes it as "partial 16S ribosomal RNA". It matches the Rfam family "Bacterial small subunit ribosomal RNA", at positions 524 to 775 of the family's 1533-position model. The record is from RNAcentral.
UACGAAGGGGGCUAGCGUUGUUUGGAAUUACUGGGCGUAAAGCGCACGUAGGCGGAUAUUUAAGUCAGGGGUGAAAUCCCAGAGCUCAACUCCUGGAACUGCCUUUGAUACUGGGUAUCUUGAGUAUGGAAGAGGUAAGUGGAAUUGCGAGUGUAGAGGUGAAUUCGUAGAUAUUCGGAAGAACACCAGUGGCGAAGGCGACUCACUGGACAGUGUAUUGACGCUGAGGUGCGAAAGCGUGGGGAGCAACAGG